GACGAACGCUGGCGGCGCGCCUAACACAUGCAAGUCGAACGAACAAGAGAGAGCUUUCUUCCUCGAGCGAUUGGCGAACGGGGGAGUAACGCGUGAGGAACCUGCCUCUAAGAGGGGGACAACACUUCGAAACGACGGCUCAUACCCCAUAAGCUAUCUUCACGCCCUCGGUCCGGGGGAAAAUGAGCACUCUGCUUUCAGAUGUCCGUGCGUCCGAUUAGCUUGUUCGAGGGGUAACGGCACACCAAGGCGACGGUCGGUAGCCGUACUGUGAGGUUGAACCGAGACACUGGGACGGAGACGCAGCACAGAAUCCUACGGGAGGGAGCAGUGGGGAAUAGUGCACCGUGGGGGAAACGAUGAAGCAGCGACGAUGCGUGGAGGAAGAAGGUAUUCGGAUUGUAAACUCCUGUUGUUGAGGAAGAUAAUGACGGUACCCAACAAGGAAGUGACGGCUAACUACGUG
RNAcentral lists this ribosomal RNA (466 nucleotides) under uncultured bacterium. RNAcentral describes it as "partial 16S ribosomal RNA". It matches the Rfam family "Bacterial small subunit ribosomal RNA", at positions 28 to 507 of the family's 1533-position model. The record is from RNAcentral.